GACGAACGCUAGCGGCAGGCUUAACACAUGCAAGUCGAGGGGCAGCACGAUGUAGCAAUACAUUGGUGGCGACCGGCGCACGGGUGCGUAACACGUAUGGAACCUGCCCUGUACUGGGAGAUAGCCCUCCGAAAGGAGGAUUAAUAUCCCAUAAUAGCUUGGGUGGCAUCACCUGGGUUUGAAAGCUCCGGCGGUACAGGAUGGCCAUGCGCACGAUUAGCUAGUUGGUGAGGUAACAGGUCACCAAGGCUACGAUCGUUAGGGGGCCUGGGAGGGUUAUCCCCCACGCUGGUACUGGGACACGGACCAGACUCCUACGGGAGGCAGCAGUGAGGAAUAUUGCGCAAUGGAGGAAACUCUGACGCAGCCAUGCCGCGUGCAGGAAGAAGGCGCUACGCGUUGUAAACUGCUUUUAACCGGGAAGAAACCCUCCGACGUGUCGGAGGUUGACGGUACCGGAGGAAUAAGCACCGGCUAACUUCGUGCCAGCAGCCGCAGUAA
RNAcentral lists this ribosomal RNA (501 nucleotides) under uncultured bacterium. RNAcentral's name for it is "partial 16S ribosomal RNA". It matches the Rfam family "Bacterial small subunit ribosomal RNA", at positions 28 to 523 of the family's 1533-position model. The record is from RNAcentral.